This 464-nucleotide ribosomal RNA is filed under the name Vreelandella stevensii. Its description in RNAcentral is "partial 16S ribosomal RNA". It matches the Rfam family "Bacterial small subunit ribosomal RNA", at positions 338 to 795 of the family's 1533-position model. Lineage: Bacteria; Pseudomonadati; Pseudomonadota; Gammaproteobacteria; Oceanospirillales; Halomonadaceae. The record is from RNAcentral.
CCUAGUGACUCAGCAGUGGGGAAUAUUGGACAAUGGGCGAAAGCCUGAUCCAGCCAUGCCGCGUGUGUGAAGAAGGCCUUCGGGUUGUAAAGCACUUUCAGUGGGGAAGAAAGCCUUGGGGCUAAUACCCUCGAGGAAGGACAUCACCCACAGAAGAAGCACCGGCUAACUCCGUGCCAGCAGCCGCGGUAAUACGGAGGGUGCGAGCGUUAAUCGGAAUUACUGGGCGUAAAGCGCGCGUAGGCGGUCUGAUAAGCCGGUUGUGAAAGCCCCGGGCUCAACCUGGGAACGGCAUCCGGAACUGUCAGGCUAGAGUGCAGGAGAGGAAGGUAGAAUUCCCGGUGUAGCGGUGAAAUGCGUAGAGAUCGGGAGGAAUACCAGUGGCGAAGGCGGCCUUCUGGACUGACACUGACGCUGAGGUGCGAAAGCGUGGGUAGCAAACAGGAUUAGAUACCCGAGUAGUC